AGUAUGGCGCGGCCCGCGAGAGCCUUGUUGAUAAAAAAAUGUACUUGCUUCUGGAGACACAUGUGUACAUGUACUGGUACAUCAUUAUGAAAGCAAAAUUGAUCUCAUGAGUACAAUAAUUUUUUACGUGUACGUACGUAGAUAGUGCAUAAAUUCCUUAUCCCACCUCGUCCUACAUACCACACUGGAUUGUUUAGCCAUAGGCUAGGUACCCUAUCAUAGUGAUACUGUAUGGACCAUCCUACCUAGUAUAGUACCUUCUGCUCCCCCGUCCUACCACAACCUUUUUUGUUCAACACUGGAUUGUUCUACCUUGUCGUACAUCUUACCACAACCACAUCCUACCUUAUCGGACCCCAUCCUACCACAAACUUCUUCGUCCUACACUGGAUUGUUCAGCCAUCCUACCUUAUCGUACUCUCUCAUACAUCCUACCACGUCCUACACUGGAUUGUUCAUCCAUCUUACCCCAUCCUACUGGAUUGGAUAGCAUCAAAAACCACUGAUCAUUCGACAUCAUGAUGGAAAUCUAUACAUGUAGUAUCCAAUAAAACGUCAUUAGGACACUUUCCAUAAUUAUUUGUUUUAUUAUCUUGCUUUAGGAUCCAGGGUUUAGUUUCACUUACUACUCCAAACUUCGCGGGUAGAAAAGGCGGCGACCUUUACCGCGCGCGGCAUAGGAGGGCGGAGGCGGGUGACCCCUAUCGGCCACCAUAAAAAGCCGUUUAGAGACAGAGGGGGAUGAGGAGGAGACGCAAGACCUUGGGGCAGAGGAAGCAACAAAUGACGAAGCAAAAGAGGAGAGUGAAGGGAGCACUGUGUGUGACCCUAGUGAGGCUCGUGAUGGUGGUGGAGAGAGUGAGGGUGGGGAGGAUGAUGAGCCUCAGGCCACUGAGAUACCUCGUGUCAUGUUCACUGGUCUUAUUGACGAGGAUGGACAGAGGAGCGUACACGAUUUGGGAGGGGAAAUGGUUGACUCUGUCUACCGGUGCACACACCUCAUCAUGGACAAGGUUCGACGCACCGUCAAGUUCUUGUGUUGUCUGUCUCGUGGCUGUCUCAUUGUGAGCAGCAACUGGUUGUCCGAGAGUGCGUUGGCGGGAUAAUUCCUACCAGCUGAACCUUAUCAUCAAAGACAGAAGCUCUGAGAGACUGUUUAACUUCUCUCUUGUCAAGUCCCACCAUAGUGCCAAGUUGUGACAGGUGUGCCAUUGUGUUCCACCGAGCUGGUGCUGUUGAGAUUGGAGGUGGAAAUUGACUCACACAGGAUGAAAACAAGUGCUGUUGCUGUAACAACUAAGGGCAGAAAACGAGUAGCAAAAGAACAAUCUACAACCACAGUCCCUGCUAAGAGACGUCGUAAAUAUAGAUCGUUUUUUUCGAACCAUAAUUAUAUCCUGUAUUCCCACCCACAUAGCUAUCGUUUAUCUUAUUUAUCACUGUACGUAUCAUCAGGAAUGAACUCCUGACAUUGUUGUUUUCUUUCAUUAGGCCAUAACAAAUUGCUUCUCAUCAGAA
This is a long non-coding RNA of Halichondria panicea, 1518 nucleotides long. RefSeq lists it as uncharacterized. The record is from RefSeq and is a predicted model, not a curated record. The transcript has 5 exons. Lineage: Eukaryota; Metazoa; Porifera; Demospongiae; Suberitida; Halichondriidae.